Molecule: long non-coding RNA, 701 nt
Organism: Camelina sativa (false flax)
Lineage: Eukaryota; Viridiplantae; Streptophyta; Magnoliopsida; Brassicales; Brassicaceae
Source: RefSeq, a predicted model, not a curated record
AUCUCGACAUCUGCCGCAUCAGAACCCUUCUUCGCCGCAAAGAUCCGUCAAUAACUACCCACAACUUGCUCCUCAACGGAAGGCGUUGCCUCCGUUUGAAAAAGCUCUGGUAGGAAUUAGAUUUCGACAAUAACUAGGUUCCGUUCUCCGUUGGAGCAAGUUGUGGGUCGUUAUUGACGGAUCUUUACGGCGAAGAAGGGUUCUGAUGCGGCGGAUGUCGAGAUCUAAAUUGAGCAUGACUGUUGAGGUUUGGAUUAGGUUCGUCAUAUUCGUCCAAGUGCACCCACCAGAUUGGUUCUAUUACGAUUGAAGUAAAGACAAAAGAGGGAGGUGUUCUUGUAGUCAAGAAGCGUAAGGAAAUAAUAAGAAGAAAGGAGAUAAGAGAGUCAGUCAGCCAGAAAUGCUAGACCACAAGUGUCUGACUAUUUGGAGUUUCCAACAUGGAUCGGUUUGUGAUACUUAGAAUUAUUUCCUCAAAAAAGAAGCUUCCAGCUUUUGGAGUAGUGGGUUCCAAACUCUCUGAGAAAGUUUGAAUCAUGCCAAGGACCUCAGAUCAGGAGAACAUUAACAUGAAUGAAGAGUCUGGCAUCCAUCAUUAUAUAGAAGGAUGAUAGUUUUAAAGUAUUUUUCGAGACUUGUGUUAUGGGUGAAUAAUGUUUGUUAUAUGAAAUGAUGUGUAUCUUGUGGAUGUUUAUUAUAUA